GGGUUGUGAGGUUAAGCGACUAAGCGUACACGGUGGAUGCCCUGGCAGUCAGAGGCGAUGAAGGGCGUGCUAAUCUGCGAUAAGCGCCGGUAAGGUGAUAUGAACCGUUAUAACCGGCGAUACCCGAAUGGGGAAACCCAGUGUGAUUCGUCACACUAUCAUUAACUGAAUCCAUAGGUUAAUGAGGCGAACCGGGGGAACUGAAACAUCUAAGUACCCCGAGGAAAAGAAAUCAACCGAGAUUCCCCCAGUAGCGGCGAGCGAACGGGGAGGAGCCCAGAGCCUGAAUCAGCAUGUGUGUUAGUGGAAGCGUCUGGAAAGGCGCGCGAUACAGGGUGACAGCCCCGUACACAAAAGCGCAUGUGCUGUGAGCUCGAUGAGUAGGGCGGGACACGUGGUAUCCUGUCUGAAUAUGGGGGGACCAUCCUCCAAGGCUAAAUACUCCUGACUGACCGAUAGUGAACCAGUACCGUGAGGGAAAGGCGAAAAGAACCCCGGCGAGGGGAGUGAAAAAGAACCUGAAACCGUGUACGUACAAGCAGUGGGAGCNNGUGACUGCGUACCUUUUGUAUAAUGGGUCAGCGACUUAUAUUCUGUAGCAAGGUUAACCGAAUAGGGGAGCCGGAGGGAAACCGAGUCUUAAUUGGGCGUUAAGUUGCAGGGUAUAGACCCGAAACCCGGUGAUCUAGCCAUGGGCAGGUUGAAGGUUGGGUAACACUAACUGGAGGACCGAACCGACUAAUGUUGAAAAAUUAGCGGAUGACCUGUGGCUGGGGGUGAAAGGCCAAUCAAACCGGGAGAUAGCUGGUUCUCCCCGAAAGCUAUUUAGGUAGCGCCUCGUGAAUUCAUCUCCGGGGGUAGAGCACUGUUUCGGCUAGGGGGCCAUCCCGGCUUACCAACCCGAUGCAAACUGCGAAUACCGGAGAAUGUUAUCACGGGAGACACACGGCGGGUGCUAACGUCCGUCGUGAAGAGGGAAACAACCCAGACCGCCAGCUAAGGUCCCAAAGUCAUGGUUAAGUGGGAAACGAUGUGGGAAGGCCCAGACAGCCAGGAUGUUGGCUUAGAAGCAGCCAUCAUUUAAAGAAAGCGUAAUAGCUCACUGGUCGAGUCGGCCUGCGCGGAAGAUGUAACGGGGCUAAACCAUGCACCGAAGCUGCGGCAGCGANNGUUGGGUAGGGGAGCGUUCUGUAAGCCUGUGAAGGUGGCCUGUGAGGGUUGCUGGAGGUAUCAGAAGUGCGAAUGCUGACAUAAGUAACGAUAAAGCGGGUGAAAAGCCCGCUCGCCGGAAGACCAAGGGUUCCUGUCCAACGUUAAUCGGGGCAGGGUGAGUCGACCCCUAAGGCGAGGCCGAAAGGCGUAGUCGAUGGGAAACGGGUUAAUAUUCCCGUACUUGGUGUUACUGCGAAGGGGGGACGGAGAAGGCUAUGUUGGCCGGGCGACGGUUGUCCCGGUUUAAGCGUGUAGGUGUGUGUUCCAGGUAAAUCCGGUUCACUUUAACACUGAGGCGUGAUGACGAGGCACUACGGUGCUGAAGUAACAAAUGCCCUGCUUCCAGGAAAAGCCUCUAAGCAUCAGGUAACAUCAAAUCGUACCCCAAACCGACACAGGUGGUCAGGUAGAGAAUACCAAGGCGCUUGAGAGAACUCGGGUGAAGGAACUAGGCAAAAUGGUGCCGUAACUUCGGGAGAAGGCACGCUGACACGUAGGUGAAGUGAUUUACUCAUGGAGCUGAAGUCAGUCGAAGAUACCAGCUGGCUGCAACUGUUUAUUAAAAACACAGCACUGUGCAAACACGAAAGUGGACGUAUACGGUGUGACGCCUGCCCGGUGCCGGAAGGUUAAUUGAUGGGGUCAGCGCAAGCGAAGCUCCUGAUCGAAGCCCCGGUAAACGGCGGCCGUAACUAUAACGGUCCUAAGGUAGCGAAAUUCCUUGUCGGGUAAGUUCCGACCUGCACGAAUGGCGUAAUGAUGGCCAGGCUGUCUCCACCCGAGACUCAGUGAAAUUGAACUCGCUGUGAAGAUGCAGUGUACCCGCGGCAAGACGGAAAGACCCCGUGAACCUUUACUAUAGCUUGACACUGAACAUUGAGCCUUGAUGUGUAGGAUAGGUGGGAGGCUUUGAAGCGUGGACGCCAGUCUGCGUGGAGCCGACCUUGAAAUACCACCCUUUAAUGUUUGAUGUUCUAACGUGGACCCGUGAUCCGGGUUGCGGACAGUGUCUGGUGGGUAGUUUGACUGGGGCGGUCUCCUCCUAAAGAGUAACGGAGGAGCACGAAGGUUGGCUAAUCCUGGUCGGACAUCAGGAGGUUAGUGCAAUGGCAUAAGCCAGCUUGACUGCGAGCGUGACGGCGCGAGCAGGUGCGAAAGCAGGUCAUAGUGAUCCGGUGGUUCUGAAUGGAAGGGCCAUCGCUCAACGGAUAAAAGGUACUCCGGGGAUAACAGGCUGAUACCGCCCAAGAGUUCAUAUCGACGGCGGUGUUUGGCACCUCGAUGUCGGCUCAUCACAUCCUGGGGCUGAAGUAGGUCCCAAGGGUAUGGCUGUUCGCCAUUUAAAGUGGUACGCGAGCUGGGUUUAGAACGUCGUGAGACAGUUCGGUCCCUAUCUGCCGUGGGCGCUGGAGAACUGAGGGGGGCUGCUCCUAGUACGAGAGGACCGGAGUGGACGCAUCACUGGUGUUCGGGUUGUCAUGCCAAUGGCACUGCCCGGUAGCUAAAUGCGGAAGAGAUAAGUGCUGAAAGCAUCUAAGCACGAAACUUGCCCCGAGAUGAGUUCUCCCUGAGACU
Molecule: ribosomal RNA, 2787 nt
Filed under: Salmonella enterica subsp. enterica serovar Dublin
Lineage: Bacteria; Pseudomonadati; Pseudomonadota; Gammaproteobacteria; Enterobacterales; Enterobacteriaceae
Description: bacterial LSU rRNA
Rfam family: Bacterial large subunit ribosomal RNA
Source: RNAcentral